GAUGAACGCUGGCGGCGUGCCUAAUACAUGCAAGUCGAGCGAACAGACGAGGAGCUUGCUCCUUUGACGUUAGCGGCGGACGGGUGAGUAACACGUGGGUAACCUACCUAUAAGACUGGGAUAACUUCGGGAAACCGGAGCUAAUACCGGAUAAUAUUUCGAACCGCAUGGUUCGAUAGUGAAAGAUGGCUCUGCUAUCACUUAUAGAUGGACCUGCGCCGUAUUAGCUAGUUGGUAAGGUAACGGCUUACCAAGGCAACGAUACGUAGCCGACCUGAGAGGGUGAUAGGCCACACUGGAACUGAGACACGGUCAAGACUCCUACGGGAGGCAGCAGUAGGGAAUCUUCCGCAAUGGGCGAAAGCCUGACGGAGCAACGCCGCGUGAGUGAUGAAGGUCUUCGGAUCGUAAAACUCUGUUAUUAGGGAAGAACAAACGUGUAAGUAACUGUGCACGUCUUGACGGUACCUAAUCAGAAAGCCACGGCUAACUACGUG
RNAcentral lists this ribosomal RNA (497 nucleotides) under uncultured bacterium. RNAcentral describes it as "partial 16S ribosomal RNA". It matches the Rfam family "Bacterial small subunit ribosomal RNA", at positions 28 to 507 of the family's 1533-position model. The record is from RNAcentral.